This 269-nucleotide ribosomal RNA is filed under the name uncultured prokaryote. Its description in RNAcentral is "partial 16S ribosomal RNA". It matches the Rfam family "Bacterial small subunit ribosomal RNA", at positions 524 to 792 of the family's 1533-position model. The record is from RNAcentral.
UACGGAGGAUCCGAGCGUUAUCCGGAUUUAUUGGGUUUAAAGGGUGCGCAGGCGGGGGAUUAAGUCGGCGGUGAAAUUUUGCAGCUCAACUGUAAAAGUGCCUUCGAAACUGGUUUCCUUGAGUGUAGAUGAAGUAGGCGGAAUUUGUGGUGUAGCAGUGAAAUGCAUAGAUAUCACGAGGAACUCCGAUUGCGCAGGCAGCUUACUAAACUACUACUGACGCUCAUGCACGAAGGCGUGGAGAUCAAACAGGAUUAGAUACCCCGGUA